This 1139-nucleotide long non-coding RNA is filed under the name Marmota monax (woodchuck). Lineage: Eukaryota; Metazoa; Chordata; Mammalia; Rodentia; Sciuridae. The record is from RNAcentral.
GGAAGAUUCUGUAAGAUGGGAGAAAUUGCCUUUGGAAAAGGGAGAUAGGGAAGGAUCUCUCAGGCAGCCAAGUUUAGGAAUGUGUCAUAUGAAAUUUGAAAAUCUGUGAGUUCAUUUCCUCUAAAAAUUGUGUCUAUAUAUCUUUUGAAAGUCUCUAUGAAUGAAUGUCCAGUGAUACCUGUGCCCCAUGAAAGUCACCGGGGAGAGGGAGAAGAGGCCAGAGGUGAGGCACCUCCUUGCUGGAUCCCCUCUGGCUGCAGAUAUCCUUUUAGCCCUUGGCCCAUCUCUUCUGCCUGACUCCUAACUCCCAUAGUGAGCAAGUUCCUAAUCAAGAUUCAAAUCUGUAGCAUAUAGGCAGUUAUUUAAAAUCAGUAAGAAAAAUGUGGUUAUUCCCAAAGAAAAAGACAGCAAAUGAUACCAAUAGGCAGUUAUCAAAGGAUGAAAUGCAAGUGGCCAGUCCCUAAAGAAAAUGUUAAAACAGAAAUCAUAGAUGUGCAAUUUAAGACAAGAUACCAUUUUGGAAAUCAAAUUGGAAAAAUAAAUAACAUCAAGUGGUGGUUGGGAAGAAAAUAAACUGGUUCAAUGCUUUUCUAAAUAGCAGGAAAGCAAUAUGCAUUAAACAUCUAAAAAACAGUAUUAAGUUGACCUAAAAAUCCUCAGUCUAAGUGUUAUUCUAAAGAUCAGAAUUCUAAAGAAUCACAUACAAGGAAGAGUCAGUCUCAAAUUCUAUCACAAUGGACAUGUUGGGCAGGAUUCCUUGAGCAUCUUGUAUUUGAAAUGCCCCCUCUCAAUGUCACUUUCUCGGCCUCUUGGCUAAGACUCCUGAUGGAUUUGGAACAACUGAUUGCACACUGAGCGCCAGUGGAUUGGCCUCUUGCAAUGGGCUGCUAUUGUCUGCAGAAUGUGAUUUGAAGGGUAGGGGUGCCUCCUCCAGGGGCACACGAGGCAGGAGAUGAGUGAGCACAGCACACCUGUAAUAGUGAGGUCAGAACCUGCUGUGAAGUCAGUCCAGCCUGGGACAUGCACUGAGCUCUGUCCCCAUGCAAUGAGAGCUACUAGCAAGGUUCUCGCAGGGGACCAUGACAUGAUACAUACUUGGGAUAUUUUUGUUAUUCUAAUCCCCCCCAAAAAAGAAAAAC